GGCGCUAUAGCCAAGUGGUUACGGCGACAGAUUAGAAUCACGGCGAGUCUAUCUGUUCCUCUUCGAGGGCGCAGGUUCAAAUCCUGCUGGCGUCG
Lentinula lateritia is the source of this 95-nucleotide non-coding RNA. NCBI's taxonomy places the organism in Eukaryota, Fungi, Basidiomycota, Agaricomycetes, Agaricales, Omphalotaceae. The record is from the annotation of a GenBank genome assembly.